GACCUCUUGGGAGUCAGGUUGCUUGGGAGUGCAACCCCAAUUGGGUGGUAAACUCCACCUAAGACUAAAUACGGCCGUGAGACCGAUAGCAAACAAGUACCGUGAGGGAAAGGUGCAAAGAACUUUGAAGAGAGAGUUCAAGAGUACGUGAAACUGCUCAGAGGCAAACGGGUGGGCCCUCGAAAUCCUCCGGCAGGGGGAUUCAGUUAGGAAAAGCUGAGGUGAUGUGUGGCCAUAACGGACCCUCUCUGGGGACGGGCUGCCAUCACGGUCUCGGUUUGACUUGACGCAUUUCCCCCUGCACAAGGACGCCGCAUCCGGUUGGGUAGCUGCGUGAGUCGGCCAUAAGAACAAGCAACGGAAGGUGGCCGGUGUCAGUGCCUUCUGACGCCGGUUGUUAGACAGUUUGUUCGUGGCGCGACACCCGACUGAGGUUAAGUUGUUCCCUUAUGGGAACUAGCCGUCCCCUUCGGAGCGGAUGCUAGCAAGUGUUUCACGGUGUCGCUUCUUCACUCUUGUAGUGUGUGGUGCUCCGUGUUCCCUGGUGGGGUUAGGCGGCUAGCGGCGAGUGAGUCGGUCUCCCACCCGACCCGUCUUGAAACACGGACCAAGGAGUCUAACAUGUGCGCGAGUCACGGGGUCUUGAACAGGCCCAGAGGCGCAAUGAAAGUGAAAGUCGAUCUCGUGUCGACUGUGUUGGGAUCUCCCGUCCUUUGCGGCGGGAAAGCACCAACGAUCCGUCCUAUCCGAUUUAUCGGUUGGCGGAAUCGGAGCGUACACGUUGGGACCCGAAAGAUGGUGAACUAUGCUUGGGCAGGACGAAGCCAGAGGAAAC
This 835-nucleotide ribosomal RNA is filed under the name Opopaea sp. 100. Its description in RNAcentral is "eukaryotic LSU rRNA". It matches the Rfam family "Eukaryotic large subunit ribosomal RNA", at positions 252 to 862 of the family's 3401-position model. The record is from RNAcentral. Lineage: Eukaryota; Metazoa; Arthropoda; Arachnida; Araneae; Oonopidae.